This 61-nucleotide transfer RNA is filed under the name Cavia porcellus (domestic guinea pig). It matches the Rfam family "tRNA", at positions 6 to 65 of the family's 71-position model. Rfam says of the family: Transfer RNA (tRNA) molecules are approximately 80 nucleotides in length. Their secondary structure includes four short double-helical elements and three loops (D, anti-codon, and T loops). Lineage: Eukaryota; Metazoa; Chordata; Mammalia; Rodentia; Caviidae. The record is from Rfam by way of RNAcentral.
UGUGGCUCAAUGGUAGAGCGCUUGUCUAGCAUGUAUAAGGCCCUGGGUUAGAACCCCAGCA